RNAcentral lists this ribosomal RNA (254 nucleotides) under uncultured bacterium. RNAcentral describes it as "partial 16S ribosomal RNA". It matches the Rfam family "Bacterial small subunit ribosomal RNA", at positions 524 to 776 of the family's 1533-position model. The record is from RNAcentral.
UACGAAGGGGGGCUAGCGUUGUUCGGAAUCACUGGGCGUAAAGGGCGCGUAGGCGGCGCGACAAGUCAGGCGUGAAAGCCCCGGGCUCAACCCGGGAAUUGCGCUUGAUACUGUCGUGCUUGAGGCCGGGAGAGGAUGGCGGAAUUCCCAGUGUAGAGGUGAAAUUCGUAGAUAUUCGCAAGAACACCAGUGGCGAAGGCGGCUUACUGGUCCGGUUCUGACGCUGAGGCGCGAAAGCGUGGGGAGCAAACAGG